GAUGAAGAACGUAGCGAAAUGCGAUAAGUAAUGUGAAUUGCAGAAUUCAGUGAAUCAUCGAAUCUUUGAACGCACAUUGCGCCCGCCAGUAUUCUGGCGGGCAUGCCUGUCCGAGCGUCAUUUCAACCCUCGAACCCCUCCGGGGGGUCGGCGUUGGGGAUCGGCACUUACCUGCCGGCCCCGAAAUACAGUGGCGGUCUCGCCGCAGCCUCUCCUGCGCAGUAGUUUGCACACUCGCACCGGGAGCGCGGCGCGUCCACGGCCGUAAAACAACCCAAACUUCUGAAAUGUUGACCUCGGAUCAGGUAGGAAUACCCGCUGAACUUAAGCAUAUCAAUAGCGGAGGA
This 347-nucleotide unclassified non-coding RNA is filed under the name soil metagenome. RNAcentral's name for it is "partial contains 5.8S ribosomal RNA, internal transcribed spacer 2, and large subunit ribosomal RNA". The stretch from base 1 to 120 matches the Rfam family "5.8S ribosomal RNA", at positions 35 to 154 of the family's 154-position model. The record is from RNAcentral.